Molecule: ribosomal RNA, 119 nt
Organism: Lepisosteus oculatus (spotted gar)
Lineage: Eukaryota; Metazoa; Chordata; Actinopteri; Semionotiformes; Lepisosteidae
Source: Ensembl
GCCACCAGUCAUAUCACCCUGCAACUCACAACUGGCAACCCACUGAAGCUAAGCAGGUGUGAGCCUGGUCAGUACCUGGAUGGGAGACCUCCUGGGAAAAACUAAGGUUGCUGCUGGAA